RNAcentral lists this long non-coding RNA (1093 nucleotides) under Lactuca sativa (garden lettuce). RNAcentral's name for it is "long non-coding RNA (LSAT_LNC002836)". The record is from RNAcentral. Lineage: Eukaryota; Viridiplantae; Streptophyta; Magnoliopsida; Asterales; Asteraceae.
AUAAAAUAACCAUUUUAUAACAUAAAACAUGAUUAUAUACAACAAUUCAAAGAACAUACCCAACCUUCUAUACAACAUUCUUUAAGAAAUUGUUAUCAUUCUUCAAGAAUAUACAAAAAAAAAUUAUAAUAUAUGCUACAUUCUUAAAGAAUUUGUCAGCAUUCUUGAAGAUUUUGUCUUUGUGUUUUGAUGGUUUUUCCAUGCAUCUAUAUUUACCUCUUCACGCUUGACCCUAAACACACAAAUCAUUUAAUUAAAGCACACAAAAAUACAUGAUAUAUCAUAUGAUUCAAAAUAUUUCAAGAACGUACGUUAGAUAGCACCAGAAGCAAUAAGCAAAUUUUAUAAGCCCAAAACUUCUUUUGUAUGUUCUAGAGCAUAAGAAGCCUAACAUGCUAACUAACCAUUCUACCAACAACAUAAACCUAAUGAUAAUGUUAAUAAGCUUAAGUUAGAAAGAAAAAACUUAGAUCCAUACGAAAUUUGGGUAAAAACUAGGUUAGGAGUAAGAAUAAAAUUUUGUGACAAUGCCAACCAUAAACCGAAUUCUAGGGAUUUUGAUAUAGAUUCUUGAAAGAAUGCAAUAAUAAAAUAAAAUACAAAAAAAACCCUACUAGAAGAACAAAUUAAGCAUACAUUCUUAUACAUUAAGAAGUUUUGACAACUAAAAAUCAAAUUUUCCAUAAUGUUGGUAGCAUAAUUAACCAUAACCAACAUACAUGAAAAAAAGAUAUACUCCACUAAUUAAGUUAAAAUUAAAAAAAUAAAAUAAAAAUAAAUAAGCACUAACAUAAAAGAGGUUAUAUGUAUGAAUAUGAAAAAGAUUUGUACAUACUCAUUAAAUAUGAAUAUGAAAAAAAGAUAAAAAGAGUAUAUGAAUCACAUACAUAUACUAUGAGAAUAUGGUGAGUCCACACAGUAUGAUUGGCAAGGGUGUUGGGCAACGAUCGUGGCCUGACGGUGGAGAGGAGUCAUUGGAGAUAGACAUCCCAUCUCCAUCUCUUCAAUUUGCAGGUGGAUAGAAAAAAACGAAAAAACAGGGAAAGAGAGAAUAAUGUAAGUUUAAUUGUGCUCUGAACUUGGUGAUUUUUUU